RNAcentral lists this ribosomal RNA (306 nucleotides) under uncultured bacterium. RNAcentral's name for it is "bacterial SSU rRNA". It matches the Rfam family "Bacterial small subunit ribosomal RNA", at positions 28 to 334 of the family's 1533-position model. The record is from RNAcentral.
GAUGAACGCUAGCUACAGGCUUAACACAUGCAAGUCGAACGGAGCAGAUCCCUUCGGGGGUUUGCUUAGUGGCGAACGGGUGAGUAACGCGUGAGGAACCUGCCUUUCAGUGGGGACAACAGUUGGAAACGACUGCUAAUACCGCAUAAUGCUUUUGAGCGGCAUCGCUUGAAAGCCAAAGAUUUAUCGCUGAAAGAUGGUCUCGCGUCUGAUUAGCUAGUUGGUGAGGUAACGGCUCACCAAGGCGACGAUCAGUAGCCGGUCUGAGAGGAUGAACGGCCACAUUGGGACUGAGAUACGGCCCAG